UACGUAGGGACCGAGCGUUGUCCGGAAUCAUUGGGCGUAAAGCGCGUGUAGGCGGCCCGGUAAGUCCGCUGUGAAAGUCGGGGGCUCAACUCCGGAAUUGCCUUUAAGACUGCAUCGCUAGAAUUGUGGAGAGGUAAGUGGAAUUCCGAGUGUAGAGGUGAAAUUCGUAGAUAUUCGGAAGAACACCAGUGGCGAAGGCGACUUACUGGACACAUAUUGACGCUGAGGUGCGAAAGCGUGGGGAGCAAACAGG
Molecule: ribosomal RNA, 253 nt
Filed under: uncultured bacterium
Lineage: Bacteria
Description: partial 16S ribosomal RNA
Rfam family: Bacterial small subunit ribosomal RNA
Source: RNAcentral